GUUGUUGAUGCACACACGACGCAUCGCUGUCUGCCUGACUCAUACAUGUCCGACCAGCGUAUCUGUAUGGGCGCUUGUCUCUUCAGGUUAACUCGAUUAUGGGUUAUGUUACAUGUGGUCAAUCUGCCUAUAUGAUUGGUAUACCUCUCCGGAGACUCGGAUAUACAUAUCACAUUCUCCCUUUACUCUCUUGAGGAAAGGUUCACAUAUUGGUCUCGAGCUCUCACUUAUUAAUAGGCCCGCGCCGCUCUUUCUUGUUGGUGAUGUCACGGCUCUACCAAGUGAAGAUGCUUAGUCGCACCUGAGAGGGAGAUCGGCCACUACUGUGACUGAGACACUGCCCAGACUCCUACUAGGAGGCACGCGUAGGGCAUCUUCCGCUAUGUGACUAGUGUACUGACCGACUAACGCCGCUUGAGUGCAUUAGGUUUCUUGAUCGUAAAACUCUGUUGUUAAGCUAAAACAACUACGAAAGUCCCCGCUCGUAACUUGACAGUACUUAACCACAUCGCUGCGGCUAUCUAUGAGCUACCAACCGCCGUAAUGUUUUCGUGGCCUGCGUUGUCCGGACUUAUUGGGCGUAAAGUGCGCGCACGCCGUUCAUUAAGUCUGAUGUGAAACCCCACCGCUCAACCCUGGACGGUACUCGGAUACUGGGGGACUUGCCUACCGAAGAUCACAGUGGACUUUCCCGUGUCGCGGAGAUAUCGCGUGAAUGUGAAGUACUCCUCUG
RNAcentral lists this ribosomal RNA (733 nucleotides) under uncultured bacterium. RNAcentral describes it as "bacterial SSU rRNA". It matches the Rfam family "Bacterial small subunit ribosomal RNA", at positions 1 to 714 of the family's 1533-position model. The record is from RNAcentral.